Cyprinus carpio carpio is the source of this 913-nucleotide long non-coding RNA. NCBI's taxonomy places the organism in Eukaryota, Metazoa, Chordata, Actinopteri, Cypriniformes, Cyprinidae. The record is from Ensembl.
GCAAAGCUGGCUGGGGAGUGUCUAUGUUUCGGAAAAUUAUGUAAUGCUACCAUUUUCUGCCUAUUACUUUUUUUCUUUUUUUAAGAAAAUAGAUUUCAUUUUAAUGUAUGACACUAAACAUUUGAAAUCUUAAUAUUCUACACUGUCACGAUGGUUAUUUUGCAUUUUUUAAAACCAAUUUUGCAUAAAAAUUACAACUUUUGGCAGCCUGAUCAGUUAAAGACUCAAGAAGGUUAACGAUUUUCCGUCGUGGGAGGCGGGGGAGAGCAGUGGCGGAAUUAGGAUUCAGCUCCCAUCCUCAGCGCCGAGCGGCUGUCUGCUGCCUACCCAGCAACCCUGGCGCUUUGUGACAAGGAGAUGGAUGAUAUCUGCAGCCUGGCUGGCCGCUCUAUGGGUAAAGGGAGCACCUGCGGCCACCGCUAACCGCCAUCCGACGGGUUAAAAGCUCUGACUGGAGGAAGACGCUCAGAGCAGCCGCGGGUUCCACUGGAGUCCCAUCGGCUGAGAGAAACCUGUGAGACAGAAGCUAAUUAUCCUCUAAAGCAAAAAGCCAGUUGUGGUUCAAUAACUCCAGAGCGCUGCCAGCCUGCGUUUCCUUGGCAACACCUCCACAGCAGUACUGCAGACAUCACAGAGAAAGGCAGGCGGUCACAGGGUACACAGGGCAGGAUGAAUCGGGGAGGAAAGACUUUAAGAGUGACGGGUCGUGUGGAGAUACGUCCUCUAGACUGAUGCAGGCCAAUUACAGGCCAUUACUCUCUGCUGAGAUUGAUUUGCUUUCUUUACGUUUGGGGACCCAGAGAUGUACUGUAUGUAUGAACAUAAUGACAUUUUCAAAAGUACUUCUUGUUUUCUCUUCAGAUUCUAGUAAUAUCUCUAUCUGACUUAGGGUGCUUUCACACCUGCUUCAUUU